UGGGGAAUCUUGGACAAUGGGCGAAAGCCUGAUCCAGCCAUGCCGCGUGAGUGACGAAGGUCUUCGGAUUGUAAAGCUCUUUUGGCGGGGACGAUAAUGACGGUACCCGCAGAAUAAGCCCCGGCUAACUUCGUGCCAGCAGCCGCGGUAAUACGAAGGGGGCUAGCGUUGUUCGGAAUUACUGGGCGUAAAGGGCGCGUAGGCGGCAAUUCAAGUCAUCUGUGAAAUCUCCGGGCUUAACUCGGAACGGUCAGAUGAUACUGCUUUGCUAGAGUGCAGAAGGGGCAAUCGGAAUUCUUGGUGUAGCGGUGAAAUGCGUAGAUAUCAAGAGGAACACCUGAGGUGAAGACGGGUUGCUGGGCUGACACUGACGCUGAGGCGCGAAAGCCAGGGGAGCAAACGGGAUUAGAUACCCCUGUAGUCCCUGAGCGGGCUGGCAAGGCGCAU
RNAcentral lists this ribosomal RNA (447 nucleotides) under uncultured bacterium. RNAcentral describes it as "bacterial SSU rRNA". It matches the Rfam family "Bacterial small subunit ribosomal RNA", at positions 355 to 825 of the family's 1533-position model. The record is from RNAcentral.